GACGAACGCUGGCGGCGUGCUUAACACAUGCAAGUCGAACGGAAAGGCCCUGCUUGCAGGGUACUCGAGUGGCGAACGGGUGAGUAACACGUGGGUGAUCUGCCCUGCACUUCGGGAUAAGCCUGGGAAACUGGGUCUAAUACCGGAUAGGAGCCAUUUUUAGUGUGAUGGUUGGAAAGUUUUUUCGGUGUAGGAUGAGCUCGCGGCCUAUCAGCUUGUUGGUGGGGUAAUGGCCUACCAAGGCGGCGACGGGUAGCCGGCCUGAGAGGGUGGACGGCCACAUUGGGACUGAGAUACGGCCCAGACUCCUACGGGAGGCAGCAGUGGGGAAUAUUGCACAAUGGGCGCAAGCCUGAUGCAGCUACGCCGCGUGGGGGAUGACGGCCUUCGGGUUGUAAACUCCUUUCGCUAGGGACGAAGCUUUUUGUGACGGUACCUAGAUAAGAAGCACCGGCUAACUACGUG
This 465-nucleotide ribosomal RNA is filed under the name uncultured bacterium. Its description in RNAcentral is "partial 16S ribosomal RNA". It matches the Rfam family "Bacterial small subunit ribosomal RNA", at positions 28 to 507 of the family's 1533-position model. The record is from RNAcentral.